UUUGGUGUGUUGGUGGUGGUUGUCUCGCACUCAACAUCAUUGUUCCUCUUCCAGGCUCUGGUUCGUGUCUCUCUUUCUCUUCUCUUUUCUUCCCUUCCCCUCCCUUCCCUUCCCUUCUUUGAUUUUCGUUUUUCUCUUUUAGAUUUGGUGUUGGUGGUGGCCCUCUCGCACUCAACAUCAUUGUUUGGACGCCAGGUACAACCCUCCCUCCUAUUCUCUUCUUUGAUUUCAUUAAUAUAGUGCUUUCUUUCAAGUUAUGUUCUUGGAUAAACUACAAUCAGCUUCUUUUUUCAUAUGAUUAUCUUGAUUUGUACAUUAGGUUUUGGCAAGAACUGAAUUGAAAAACUGGUUCGCCGAACUGAACUGAACUGGAAAAUUGGUUCUCAAUUUAUAAAAUUCACAAGACAAACCUACCUCAAUAAAUAAAAAUUAAUUCUAUAUAUCUUUGCCAUUAUACAUGGAUUGGACAUAAUGGUAGUCUAACAGGAUCACAAAUUAUGGGGAGGAGGGAGAUGAGAUAAACACGUCAAGAAGUGGUUUGAAGUUACUUCCUCCAAACUUCUAGACCAGAGUGAUUUUUUCUUUAAAUGUUUAAUUCGGUGAAUUGUUUUGCAGUUCGGUGAACCAGUUCUGAUUUUGCAAUUUAAUUUAAAGAUAUGCUUGCUUAUAAGUUAUGUAUCAUAUAGCUCUAAUUUUUGCAUCUGCAAUGCAUGUGAUAGUUGCUGGUUAUGGCGUGGAUUGUGGGAUUUUGUUUCCUAAUUUUAAGGGGAUGCUGGUGGAUUUUAAGGCCUCGAAACUAAUCUGGUUUUGGCUUAUUACGAUGUGGUUUUUGGCUAGUAAAUAAGUUGUGCGUCCUUGGGCUUGGUUGAAGGACGUAAAUUUGGUUUAAGCUAGCUGAUGUUGAAUUUGGUUGCAGAUGAGAGGGCGCAUGGUGUGGUGUUUUGGUUGGUAUAAGAUAGGGAAGCAAGGGAAAUUUGGAGUGCUUUGGUUAUUUAUUUGGGCUUAGUGUGUUUAUUUAUUAUCUUCAUAAGUGUUGUGCUUAUAUUGGUUGGUGGAAAGAUAAAGCACAAAUAAUCUGAAUUAUAUUCUUUGCUUUUUCAGUGUUAAGUUUCUCAUUGUGUUUGUGACCUGUGUUCGUGACACUCUCUAUUGUGGUUCAGGUACCUCACUUCUCCUUUUGAUUCCUCUCUUCUUUAAAAUUCUCCUUUUUUUAACAUUUUAUCAUAAUUUUUCUAUACAUUAGCUUAAUUUGUGUUGUUCUUUUGAUUUUAUGCAUCCUCGUAUAUACUUCUAUUGUCUAUUAUUUACUUUCUGGUUAAAUAGUGCUAACAUUUUGUUUUUAAAAGUAUGGUUAGAUCAAAGAGGCAUGGUCGCAAGGCUCCUUCUGCAGCAGCACAUCCAUCAGCGAGCCUUGAGUCUAUACCUCAGCACAGUGAGCCUAUACGUCAGCUCAGUGAGCCUAUACUUCAGCAAAGUGAGCCCAUACCUCAGCAAAGUGAGCCCAUACCUCAGCAAAGUGAGCCUAUACCUCAGCAAAGUGAGCCUAGAAGUGAUGCAGUCCAAAAUCAGCCACGUAGACGACGUGGAGGGUCUGAAUCCACACAACCUCAUAAGAAAACACCUACGAGAUAUUGGACAGUGGACCUUAUUGGUAUGAAAUUCAUGUCUUAACAUGUUUGACUAUAUGCAAUAGUUUUUAUUGACUAGUAUUUCUGCACUAAUGCUUCACAUGUAGGCGAGGAUGGGGUUGUGACAAAAGCUAGCUUGCGAGUAAAAGAUUUGCGUUAUGACCUUCCUUGAGGUAAGAAAAUUGUGGUUGAAUGGAAUAGGAAUUGUCAACCGGUUGGAGAUUCUGGAGGCCUUUUGGGGGGUUAUCUAGGGGAGCUUGCAUCUAAUGCCUCUAAGUUUCCUAUCAAUUUUGUGAAUUGGCAUAAAGUUUCUAGCACACACAAGAACCAUGUGUGGAAUGAUAGCAUAAAGGUAAGUAUCAUAAUUAACUACUUAUUUUCUCUUAUUGACAUUAUGUACAUGUUACUAAUCAAAUUUGUUUAUUGUAGAAAAAAUUCAUAGUGAAUGAAGAAGGACAUAGAAAAUAUAUAUUGGAAAAUUUGGGGAAAAAAUGGAGGGACAGCCGCGCUCGAAUGUAUGCUGAUUGUUUUAGAGAACAGAAUACUUGGGAACAAAACCUUGAGGCGUGCCCUGAUGGUGUUCCCUUGGAGCAAUGGGUUUCUUUCUUAGAGUAUCGUGCCUCUGAAAAAGCUAAGGUAAUAAGAAGUAUUGUUUUAGAUGAUAUUCAAAUACUCACCAUUAGCUAACUAUUUUUUAUAUCUCUUGAUGCAGAAGUAUUCUGAGAAAAAUACUGCAAACAGACUCAAGCAAACAGUCCCUCACACUCUUGGGACAAUGACAAUUGCAAGAAAAAAACAUGAGUUGGUAUGGUUUAUUUGUGUUAAUAAUGCUUCAUUAAAUCUCAAAUUUGAAGUUAUUAUUUUAUGAGAUUGCUAAUUUAAUACUUCAUAAUAGGAAACACAAACUGGAAGAUCAUACAGUAGAGUUGAGUUGUAUUCCAUUACCCAUAAGAGAAGCGAUGGAUCUUUUGUCAAUGAUGAGGCUAGAGAAAAAAAUGUGAGUACAAUCUGUAAUUUAUGAGUUUCUAUUUGUAAUUAGAUGCUUACAUGUGUUCACUUUUAAAGUGUUUUCUUAAUUAUGUGGUUAAUGUUAUAUGUAGGAACAACUUGAGAUGGCUAUUGAUAACAAUAUGUCUGAAGAAGAAGCUUUCACGACUAUAAUUGGAAAAGAACACUAUGGGCGUGUGCGAGGCAUGGGAUUUGGUGUUUGCCCCUCUCAAGUCCUCGAAGGUUUUGGGGGCUCAUCAUCCGGCAGUUCCUCAUCACAAGUUACUCAGCUGCAAUCAGAGUUAGAAGCAGAACGUGCUAGAGUUGAUGCUUUGGAAAAAGCUUUGGAAAAAGAAGUCACAAAGUUUAAGAGUAUGGAGGAACAACUUGCAUUUCUUAUGCAGCAUGUCAUUGGCCAUGGAUUUAAUCAGGUAUGGAUUGAAUUUGAUAGACAACUUUUUAUUCACAUUAGCUUUGAUUAAAGAAACCAAUUCAGGUGUUGCUUGGAAUCUGCCUAGAUGUGGUUUGAAUGAGAAGUUGUCUAAACUUUGUAUUGUAUCUUUGGAGUUUGGUUUUGACCUACGAUGAUUGUUGCUUGUGAAUUUGUUGGAGGUACCUUACGGAUGACUUUGGUACUUGUAGGUUAGCGAUGUAGGCUCCCCGAAUGAAGUAAGGCGAUCUUCAUCCGCCAGUCAUCAAC
Molecule: long non-coding RNA, 3315 nt
Filed under: Lotus japonicus
Lineage: Eukaryota; Viridiplantae; Streptophyta; Magnoliopsida; Fabales; Fabaceae
Description: long non-coding RNA (LJAP_LNC001848)
Source: RNAcentral